This is a long non-coding RNA of Heterocephalus glaber (naked mole-rat), 725 nucleotides long. The record is from Ensembl. Lineage: Eukaryota; Metazoa; Chordata; Mammalia; Rodentia; Bathyergidae.
UUCUCUAGGUACUUAGAAAUGUAUAACUAAUUGUUACAGACCGUGGUCGCCCUACUGCGCCUUGUAACGCCGGAACUCCCUCCCCUCUCCCUGUGUUCUGGUGUCCAGUAUCUGCCCUCUCACUUUCUCCUCUGUCGGGUUCCUCCCUCCAGUGGCCUCUAUUCUACUCUCCACUUCUAUGUCAUCAACUUUGACAAUGUAUGUCAUCGAUCAUCAGGAAAUGGAAAUCGAGACCACAAUGAGAUGUCACCUCACACCAGUCAGAAUAGCUCUUAUUACACCAAACAAACAAAACAACAAUGCAGCUCCCUCUAUUUCUUUUGGGGGAAGGAGCAUGAGCACAUAGAAAGGUUUAAAGGAGGUGCUCGGUGGGGAGGAAGGGUCCAGAUGAACUAGAAGACGUUGGAAGAGGAGCCCCAGAGCGUGGCAGGGUCAUGUGCAGUACUCUCAGGUCUGCAGCCUGCUGUGUGGCCACAGGCUCGAGCCCUUGUCUUCCGUGUACACCCCCCCUUCCCUCUGUGGCAUCACCGUGGAGUGGAGUUGGCCCAGGGGCAGUUUCAUCCUGGGAUGCGAAGCCUUAAACCACACAGGCAGCCGCGAUGAGCCGCCAGCACCCGCAGGGCCGGGGGAGGCCAGGACCUCCCUGCGGCUCCUCUGCCGUGUGUCCCAGGAGCAAUGGACUAAGACGCUGUGAGGAUAAACAACAUUCCAAUUUCCCUCAAAAC